Molecule: ribosomal RNA, 464 nt
Filed under: Vreelandella stevensii
Lineage: Bacteria; Pseudomonadati; Pseudomonadota; Gammaproteobacteria; Oceanospirillales; Halomonadaceae
Description: partial 16S ribosomal RNA
Rfam family: Bacterial small subunit ribosomal RNA
Source: RNAcentral
CCUACGGGUGGCAGCAGUGGGGAAUAUUGGACAAUGGGCGAAAGCCUGAUCCAGCCAUGCCGCGUGUGUGAAGAAGGCCUUCGGGUUGUAAAGCACUUUCAGUGGGGAAGAAAGCCUUGGGGCUAAUACCCUCGAGGAAGGACAUCACCCACAGAAGAAGCACCGGCUAACUCCGUGCCAGCAGCCGCGGUAAUACGGAGGGUGCGAGCGUUAAUCGGAAUUACUGGGCGUAAAGCGCGCGUAGGCGGUCUGAUAAGCCGGUUGUGAAAGCCCCGGGCUCAACCUGGGAACGGCAUCCGGAACUGUCAGGCUAGAGUGCAGGAGAGGAAGGUAGAAUUCCCGGUGUAGCGGUGAAAUGCGUAGAGAUCGGGAGGAAUACCAGUGGCGAAGGCGGCCUUCUGGACUGACACUGACGCUGAGGUGCGAAAGCGUGGGUAGCAAACAGGAUUAGAUACCCCGUAGUC